Myodes glareolus (Bank vole) is the source of this 2647-nucleotide non-coding RNA. The record is from RefSeq and is a predicted model, not a curated record. NCBI's taxonomy places the organism in Eukaryota, Metazoa, Chordata, Mammalia, Rodentia, Cricetidae.
CCUGAGGUCAAGAUGCCCCAGCUAACUUGUCUUGGCUUAUGUUAAACUGCUUGCUUGCACAAAACUUAGCCCUGCAGCUGCCAAGCACGAUACCAGGGUGUAGUUCUUGCCUUUAAAAAGCCCUUCCCCUAAACACUAGACUCUAUCCUUAGGUACUAAUUAUCUGAGUGUAGUCUGGCUGGUUAUAAUAGACUUUCAAUAGACCAUAAGCUGUGCCUGGCGGUCAUCUCUGGUGGGUCCUUAUAACAUGAUGGAUGUAGGUCUCACCCUCAUCAGAAAACCUCUCUUUGUAACAGAUGGAGGUCAACACAGAAAACCGGAACUGACAAGAAUGCAGGGUUAUGGAGUCCACUCCCAACUGAUACAUCUACAAGACAUCUCCUGCACCGAUGGCUUAGAAAGCAUAUCAGAAGAAGGGGUAAAAAGAUUGCAGAUGACAGAGAUUGUGUGCCCUAGAAAUGUCGCAAGCUACACCCAUGAAGCCUCACUAAUACAGCUACCUAAAUAUGACCUGAAUGAAGACACCAUCAAUAGACAAGCUAAUGUGGAAGUGGAAUGUCUAGCAGCUUCUUCUGUGAAGCAGGAACCCUCAAAGACUAUCCCAUCUUCUGGAAAGUUCAGCAGUCACUUUUCUAUGGAUCCUGCCUGUCCAGUUCAUACAGCAUACCAAGCAAUCCAGAGAAGAGCAGUUUCUUGUGCAUGAAGAAGGGGACUUUUAAGCCCAGCAGUGGUGGCACACACCUUUAAUCCCAGCACUCGGGAGGCAGAGGCACACUGAUCUCUGUCUGGACAGCCGGGAAAACAAACAAGCAGCAUCCACCAACAGCUCAUCCCCAGGAAAACUCUGUAUCAACAGCAGGUUUGGGGCUAUUGUUCAGGACCAUCUUACCUGUGCCAUGGACCCUUCCCACAGUCCUAGUUAGUUCUGUUGUCACCUUGACAUCCUUGGAGAGAGUGAAGAACCUCAAUUAAAGAAUUGCCUCCAUCACAUUGGCCUGUGGGAAUGUCUGUGGUUGUUCAUUGCUGUGGGAAGGCCCAGUCCACUGUGGGUGGUGUCAUCCCUAGGCAGGUGAGCUUUAGCCACACUGGUAAGUGACUGUGAGUCUGGGAGCAAAUCAGUAAGCUGCAUGUGUACAUGUUCUCUGCUUCAGUUUCUGCCUCCAGGUUCCUGCUUCAGUUCUUGCCCAACUUCCCUCUGUGAUGGACCAUGACUUAGAAAUGGAAGUCAGAUAACCGCUUUCCUCUCCCACACUGCUUUUGAUCAGUAGGAAACCAAAACAGAACAUCCAUUCUGUCUCCUUUAACAUCCACGGGGGGAAGAUGAUACACCAAGGAGGGUUUUAAUCAUGUGAUUGCUGCGGGAAGUUAAUAACUACAUUUUUAUUUUGUUCCUAUCUUCUGCCUCAAGGAUAAUGUGAUUCAAACGAGAAGAAACCGAAGGCCCGGGGAGAUUUGGAGGCAUACAGAGAAUGUUAAGUAGCUUCAAAUGAGUAGAAGCCUUUGGGCACUCCCAAAAUUACCACGGAAAGCACUGAAGAAGUGAUCGGAGAACAUUAAUGUCCUCAUUGGACCCUGGAGGUUGGAAGAAGUGCCAACAGCCACAGUGAACAGUGUUCUGGUGGUCAUGAAAGGGAACUGGGGUCCACAAGAGGCAGACCAUGGCCUAGCCAUACACUUCCUUCUGCAAGUUCCUAAAUGGAUAUUGACCACACCUCAGUGGUUUCUUUAAAAGUACACCCUGACCAUGUACAUUUAAAAAUUAAUGAUUUUUCCCACUUUGUUGUUUGUUAAACUAGUAAUUAAAAGAAAACAAAAGUUACUUUAGUGGACACACUAAGAAAUCAAUUACAUUCUAAAACACCAAAAGGAGAAUUUUUAAAGAUCAGAAUUAAAUCAAAUACUAAUGGACAUAAAUAAAGGCCCUGGCAUAAUCCCCUCUGUAACAGCAAAAGCACUAGAGGAAGGGGAGCCAUCUUGUUGAUAAUUUAUAUUUAAAAAUCUAAGUUAGUUUAUGCUUUUUGUGCCCUCGUGGUCAGUAUAAGUCAGGAAUCCAGCUAGUUAUCAAACUGUCUAUCCCAAUUCUGCCACAUGAAUCAAUGUCAAUGUAAGUAGAUCAAAGUUCUAAUAUUCUAGGCAAGUCUUUAUCUGGGGUCCACUGCCCAGGGUAUAUUCAUCUAGACAGACCUCUGUGUACCCCCAAAGUCGCAUGUGUUGAGGACUUGAUCCCAGUGUAGAAACUGUUGGGGGGUGAUGGACCCUCAGGAAGAUGGGGCCUCACCGAAGGAAGUUAGGUCAGGGAGCAUCCCUUUGAUAGGUGCGUUGUCCCUUUGUAUCUGUCACUUUGAUUUCUACCUGCUGCAAGUAUGCAGAAGCACAGUACAGGUCCCUGUCAUGAUGUCCCAGCACAUUGACAAUGGGUCGAAACCUCUGGAACCAGGGUCUAAAAACAAACCUUCCUUCUUUAAGGGUUGUUUAUUGCUCAAAUAUCUUACAGUGAUGUAAAUAUGACUAACAUGGGACACUGACAACUUGAAAAUAUUAUGCAGCUCAGGGCAGGUGGGUGUGGGAAAUCCUUCUGUAUAUGUGUUGCUUUUAUUGGUUAAUGGAUAAAGAAGCUGUGUUGGCCUGUUAUAGGGCAGAACAGAGC